AUUGAACGCUGGCGGAAUGCUUUACACAUGCAAGUCGAACGGCAGCACGGACUUCGGUCUGGUGGCGAGUGGCGAACGGGUGAGUAACAUGUCGGAACGUAUCCAAUAAUGGGGGAUAACUAAUCGAAAGGUUGGCUAAUACCGCAUACGCCCUACGGGGGAAAGCUAGGGACCUUCGGGCCUGGCGUUAAUGGAGCGGCCGAUAUCUGAUUAGCUAGUUGGUGGGGUAAAGGCCCACCAAGGCGACGAUCAGUAGCUGGUCUGAGAGGACGACCAGCCACACUGGAACUGAGACACGGUCCAGACUCCUACGGGAGGCAGCAGUGGGGAAUUUUGGACAAUGGGCGCAAGCCUGAUCCAGCCAUUCCGCGUGAGUGAAGAAGGCCUUCGGGUUGUAAAGCUCUUUCGCAAGGGAAGAAAACUUAGCCUCUAACAUAGGCUGAGGUUGACGGUACCUUGAUAAGAAGCACCGGCUAACUACGUGCCAGCAGCCGCUGUAA
RNAcentral lists this ribosomal RNA (500 nucleotides) under uncultured bacterium. RNAcentral's name for it is "partial 16S ribosomal RNA". It matches the Rfam family "Bacterial small subunit ribosomal RNA", at positions 30 to 523 of the family's 1533-position model. The record is from RNAcentral.